UUCAUCUUGGUGGAGCCCAAUUCAGAGAGACACAGGAACAGAAGAAGAGAGUGUUUUGACCAACUGGUUUCGAUUUGUGGUGCCGCCAUGGCUGGCCGGCUUUUCAGUCCACUGUAAAGUUGGGUUUUUUAGAAUUUUAUGGGUGCACUGAAUAUAUCAAUGGGUGCGUGUAUAAUUUUCUUUAUCUUAUUUGCUUUCUCCACCAUUGUUUCAACGCCCCUAUGCGUCUGCUGUGAUUUUAGCCAUUGUUGCAAGGUAGCUUAUUUUUCUCCAUUUCAUGGCUCUUUCCAGGACUAACCAUCUUGUACUUCCAGGCAAUUGGGCCUUCUGGGAGAGUUUGAUUGUAUAGGCUGAGGCUGAGUCUUGUGCAUUUGAGGCUCUUUCCAAGUCUUGUGCAGUUAGGUCUUUUACUUUUAUGUAUGCAUCAAUUUUGUUUGUAUAUCAUCUUCUGUGUACCAAUUAAGCUGUUUUUUAAUUGCCUAUAGUGAACCAGUGCCGUAUGGAUUUAAUUUUGGGAAGGAAAUUGUUGGGAAUGUGCUGGUAGCUCCAUUGAGUUCAUUCAGAUCAUUGCUAAUUCCUAUUAUCUAGCCUUAAUGAUAUGAAUGUCCAUG
This 611-nucleotide long non-coding RNA is filed under the name Prunus dulcis (almond). RNAcentral's name for it is "sRNA ncRNA". Lineage: Eukaryota; Viridiplantae; Streptophyta; Magnoliopsida; Rosales; Rosaceae. The record is from RNAcentral.